This 338-nucleotide unclassified non-coding RNA is filed under the name soil metagenome. Its description in RNAcentral is "partial contains 5.8S ribosomal RNA, internal transcribed spacer 2, and large subunit ribosomal RNA". The stretch from base 1 to 121 matches the Rfam family "5.8S ribosomal RNA", at positions 35 to 154 of the family's 154-position model. The record is from RNAcentral.
GAUGAAGAACGUAGCGAAAUGCGAUAAGUAAUGCGAAUUGCAGAAUUUCCGUGAGUCAUCGAAUCUUUGAACGCACAUUGCGCCCUCUGGUAUUCCGGGGGGCAUGCCUGUCCGAGCGUCAUUACAACCUUCAAGCACGGCUUGGCUGUUGAGCGGUCUGUUUUGAUGAACAGGGCUCGAAAUGCAGUGGCGACGGCGAGAUUGGUGCCCGAGCGUAUGGGGCUCUGUCACACGCUCUGGUGGCUCCACUCACAGUCUGCCAUACACAAAUCAAAUCUGAUUGACCUCGGAUCAGGUAGGAACACCCGCUGAACUUAAGCAUAUCAAUAAGCGGAGGA